AAAAAUAAAAAUUAAUAAUAAUAAAUUUAAUAAAAGUAAUUUUAAUAUUAAAAUAAAUAAUGGGGGUUAAAGUAUUUUAAUAGAAAAAAUUAGAAAUUUUAUAGUAAAUUAGUAUAGUAGUAGAAAUUUGAAAUAAGUGAAAAAUAAUUUUUUAAAAAGUAAAUUUAAAUUAUUGUAUCUUGUGUAUCAGAGUUUAUUAAAUAAUAUUUUUAUAUAAAAAUAUCUCGAAUUUAAAAGAGUUAAUUAAUUAAUAAAGUUAAUGUAAAAUAAUUAUUUUAAAUAAUUAAUUUGAAAUGAAAUGUUAAUCGUUUUUAAAUAUAUCUAGUUAUUUUAGAAAAAAAUUUAAUUUUAAAUUUAUUUAUUAAUUAUAUUAAUUAAAUUAAUAUGAUAAAAAGUAAAUUUUAUAAUUUAAGGGAUAAGCUUUAAAUUAAAUUUUUAUAAUAAAUAAUUUAAAUAAAUAAAAUUUUUAAAAUUUAUAUUGUUUAAAAAUUAAAGUUUAUUAUAAAAAAUUUUAUUAAAAAUAAAAUUUAAAUUAAUUUAAUUUUUUAUAAAAAUAUAGUUUUUAAUAUAAAAAAAAUUAGUAAUAAUGAUAAAAUUAGUAUAAUAAAAUAAAAAAAAAUAAAUUUAUUUAAAAUUAAAUAAAAGGAAUUCGGCAAAAUUUAUAUUCACCUGUUUAACAAAAACAUGUCUUUUUGAGAAAUAAUUUAAAGUCUAAUCUGCCCACUGAUUUUAUAUUAAAGGGCUGCAGUAUAUUGACUGUACAAAGGUAGCAUAAUCAUUAGUCUUUUAAUUGAAGACUUGUAUGAAGGAUUUGAUGAAAUAUAAACUGUCUCUUAUUUAUAACUAGAAUUUAAUUUUUUAGUUAAAAAGCUAAAAUAUGAUUAAAAGACGAGAAGACCCUAUAGAGUUUUAUAGUUAUUUAUUUAAAAUAUUUAUAUAAAAUUUUAAUAUUUUAUUUGAAUAAUUAUUAUAUUGGGGUGAUAAAAAAAUUAAUUAAACUUUUUUUAAAAUUUAACAAAAAUAAAUGAAUAGAUGAUCCAUAAAUAAUGAUUAAAAGAAAAAAUUACCUUAGGGAUAACAGCGUAAUAUUUUUUUUUAGUACAAAUAAAAAAAAAAGUUUGCGACCUCGAUGUUGGAUUAAGAUAAAAUUUAAAUGCAAAAGUUUAAAAUUUUGAUCUGUUCGAUCAUUAAAAUCUUACAUGAUCUGAGUUCAAACCGGUGUAAGCCAGGUUGGUUUCUAUCUUUAAUUAAAUAGGAUAUUUUA
This 1264-nucleotide ribosomal RNA is filed under the name Hypaurotis korshunovi. RNAcentral's name for it is "Favonius korshunovi partial 16S ribosomal RNA". Lineage: Eukaryota; Metazoa; Arthropoda; Insecta; Lepidoptera; Lycaenidae. The record is from RNAcentral.